Molecule: ribosomal RNA, 440 nt
Filed under: uncultured bacterium
Lineage: Bacteria
Description: partial 16S ribosomal RNA
Rfam family: Bacterial small subunit ribosomal RNA
Source: RNAcentral
CCUACGGGCGGCAGCAGUGGGGAAUAUUGCACAAUGGGGGAAACCCUGAUGCAGCGACGCCGCGUGAGUGAAGAAGUAAUUCGGUAUGUAAAGCUCUAUCAGCAGGGAAGAAAAUGACGGUACCUGAGUAAGAAGCCCCGGCUAACUACGUGCCAGCAGCGGCGGUAAUACGGAGGGGGCAAGCGUAAUCCGGAUUUACUGGGUGUAAAGGGGGCGUAGAGGGCAGGGCAAGUCUGGAGUGAAAGGCGGGGGCUCAACCCCCGGACUGCUCUGGAAACUGUACGGCUGGAGUGCAGGAGAGGUAAGUGGAAUUCGUAGUGUAGCGGUGAAAUGCGUAGAUAUUAGGAAGAACACCGAUGGCGAAGGCGGCUUACUGGAGUCUAACUGACGUUGAGGCUCGAAAGCGUGGGGAGCAAACAGGAUUAGAUACCCGAGUAGUC